This 909-nucleotide ribosomal RNA is filed under the name Cantharellus applanatus. RNAcentral describes it as "partial large subunit ribosomal RNA". It matches the Rfam family "Eukaryotic large subunit ribosomal RNA", at positions 56 to 978 of the family's 3401-position model. Lineage: Eukaryota; Fungi; Basidiomycota; Agaricomycetes; Cantharellales; Hydnaceae. The record is from RNAcentral.
GAAAAGAAACUAACUAGGAUUCCCCCAGUAACUGCGAGUGAAGAGGGAAGAGCUCAUCAUUGGAAUCUGGCAGUGUUGCACUGUCCGAGUUGUAGAUGAGGAGUAGUCCGUCUGGACUGCAUGGCGUCCAAGUACAAUAGGCCGUCAGUGGGACAUCAUAGAGGGUGACAAUCCCGUCCUUGACGCCAAUGUGCAAGUCUAUUACGAUGGCUAUCUCAGAGAGUCGAGCAGUUUGGGAUUUGCUGCUUAAACAUGGGAGGUAGAUUCCUUCUAAAGCUAAAUACAGGCGAGAGACCGAUAGAGAACAAGUACCGCAAGGGAAAGAUGAAAUAGCACUCUGUGAAGGGAGUCAAAAGGCGUGAAAUUGUUGCGAGAGAAGCGAUUCAAGUCAGCGUAGCUAGGCCCAUCAAGCGUCUUCGCUUUGGACUAGCUUUGCCAGCGGUCUUGUCCCUUGAAGAGACUUGACUUGUAAUAUGUCCAGCCUGGCGUGCACAGGCAGCCCCUUCUGGGGGCCAGUGGCAUGGCUGGUGGAAUGGCUUGCAAUCGACCCGUCUUGAAACACGGACCAAGGAGUCUAACAUGUAUGCGAGUAUAAGGGUGGCAAACCCGUAUGCGCAAUGAAAGUGAUUUUCGGUGAUUGAGAAUGGCCUGAUGACCAGACAAGCAAUAUAUGUCCCUCGUACGGCCAUUGCCCAAGUUCCGUGGUAGAUCCCACGAACAUGGAGUUGGAGCAUACAUGCUAGGACCCGAAAGAUGGUGAACUAUGCCUGGACAAAGCGAAGCCAAAGGAAACUCUGGUGGAGGCUUGUAGCGAUUCUGACGUGCAAAUCGAUCGUCUGAUCUGGGUAUAGGGGCGAAAGACUAAUCGAACCAUCUCAUAGCUGGUUCCUGCCGAAGUUUCCCUCAGGA